AAAAAGUUAAAUUACCACUUAUCGAUUCUUAUAGUAACUUAACGUUUAUCAUGAGAAUUAGUAUCAAAUUAUCAUUCUAGUUGAAACACCAUCUCCUCUCUUUCCCUUAGACUACUCUCAUGACAAUUAAAUACGUGCAUGGCGGAGUCCCCUUGCCAUGCAGCAGGCUAAAUAUCUGGAGCUGUCACUGAAGUUGCCUUGGUUGCUGCAGUGGCUCAGGUUCGCCUGCCUGGGAACUUUCAUAUGCCGUGAGCGCAGCCAAACAAAAAAAGUGCCCGCAAAAAAACAAUGUCAAGUUGCUAUUCUCUAAAAUGGUACUACUCUUGUAUGACAAGUCCAAACUAGACAGAAACUGAUUUUCUCUUUCUCACAAUGCACAGAUGGCAUUAUCCAGCUCUCCUUAUUGGAAAGGAAAAGCCUACUGCUGAAAAGAAUUCAAAAAAAUUUCAACCAUUUAUAUUAUAAAAUAUGAAGAAAAAUAAAAACUUGUUCAUUACACAAAAGAAGGAAGUUGACUGAAAAAAAGCACACAGUCUAGAAGUUAAGAACUGUUUUAUUUGGUAGACUUCAUAGGGACUUAAGCCCAAGAUAUCAGCUCUCAGGUAUCUCCAAAGGACUGUUUGUUGUGCAGUCAGAGGAGCAAGACACAGAAAUGGGACAGGACUAAAGUGCCAGAUGAAGGCAACAACUCAAGAACAAUGACGCUUCCUUGACUUAAAAAGAAAAAAACUUAACAAAGUUUUCUCGCCACGGAUCAAAGUUAUUUUCAUUACCGCCUUGGCAUUUCCUCUAUAUCCUAAAACUGUACUUUCAGGAGACACAUGCAAAAUGUCAGACUGAAAUGUUCACACAUCAGUGACAUUUUUGCACCAGAGAAAUGGAUCCAAUCUGUAUCAAUGGCCGAACUUACUUCAAUAAAUGUGUUUUCUGCAGUGAAAAGCCAGAAAAUAGUGGAAAUUUUGAACUUAGUCACUAUGAUAGUUGCUGACUCCACCUCAGCUACACACUCCUGACUUUUACUGCAAUUCUACUUUGCUAUGGACUACAACCAAUAGGAAUCUUCUCAAUCAGGGCUUUAAAUUCCUAGAUACCCAAAGACUUCUACGUCACACAAAAUGGAAUACAAAAUGUUGAAGAAUUUUCCCAACUCUUAUGCACCUGAAAUUAAAAUUUUUAUUUUCUCCACCCCCCCUCGCCCCCGCUUUUUUUUGGCCACCCUGAGGUAUAUGGAGUUCCCUGGCCAGGGAUCAAACCUGCAUCUAAGCUCCCAAUACACCAGCAAUUCUAUUGCACCACAGUGGGAAUUCCAAAGAUUUUUAUUUUCUAUGUUCGAUUAUUUAAUGACAGUUGAAAACUUUCUUAAUUGUGUGUUUGAUAAAUAGAAAACCUAAUUAUGAUCAAAUAUUCAAUCAAUAAAAUGUUAAAUAGUAAUUGAAAAAAUCUUGGAGUUCCCACUGUGGUGCAGAGAGUUAAGAAUCCAACUGCAGCAGCUAAGGUCACUGUGGAGGCAAGGGUUCAACCCUCAGCAGUGUUGGCGUUGCCACAAUGUGGCAUAAGUCACAGCUACAGCUCAGAUUCAAUCCCCGGCUUGGGAAUUUCCAUACACCAAAUGUGCAGCUAUUAAAAAAUGUUGUUUUGAGUAAUGAAUAAUAUAAAAAAGCCAUUUACAGAAUUCCUGCUACAGCACAAAAGAACCCACCAUGUCUUGGGAACCCUGGAAUGCAGUUUCAAUCCCCAACCGGGGAUAGUGGGUUAAGGAUCUGGCAUUAUCAUAGCUGGCCCGGGAAUUCCAUAUGCUGCAAGGCAGCCAAAAGUGGGGAGGAGUGGGGGGAGAGGAAGCCAUUUACUUUUUCUCAAAGUAAAUCACUCUUGAACCAUUACUCAAGAAUCUAAGAAAAAAUUGGGAGUUCCCAUUGUGGCACAGAAGAAAACGGAUCCGAUUAGGAACUAUGAGGUUGUCAGCUUGAUCCCUGGCCUUGCUGUGAGCUGUGGUGUAGGUUGCAGAUGCGGCUCAGAUCUGGUGUUGCUGUGACUGUGGCAUAGGCUGGCAGGUACACCUCCGAUUAGACCCCUACCCUGGGAGCCUCCAUAUGCUGCAGGUGUGGCCCUAAAAUGACAAAAGACAAAAAAUAAAUAAAUAAAUAAGAAUCUUUAAAAAAAAAAAAAAAUCAACUGUCGAUAGAAAAAUAUUUUUAACUUUAAAAUUUUAUUUAAAUGGUUACCUAUUUGUUCUAGAAAAGCUCACUUGAAUUCUUCCCAGUCUAUGAUAAAUUAAUAAUGUUUUAUAAGCUACAAGGAAGUAAAGGAAAGGGAGAAAGCUCUUCAAUACAUUGUAAAUAAAUACGGACUCAACACAUUGUAGAUAAAUACGGACUAUUAGCCUAAGUACUUCUACAGAAGAAAUGCGAAAAGUAGACAAAUAUAAAAGCACUACCCAGCCUAAGUCAUUACGAGUAAGGAGUAGAGGAGUUCCUGCUGUGGCGCAGCAGGACUGGCGGCAUCUCUGCAGAGCCAGUACACAGGUUUGAUUCUCAGCCCCACACAGAAGGUUAAAGGAUCCAGCAUUGCCACAGUGCCACAGCUGCAGUGUAGGGUGCAACUGUGGCUUGGAUCUGAUCAGUGGCCAGGGAACUACAAAUGCCUCAGCGUGGCAAAAAAAAAAAAGAAAAAAGAAAAAAAAGACUAGAUUCCCCGACCACAUCUAGAUCCCCAAGAGUACCACCAAAUCACAGCAACACACAAUCAAUGUCCACAACCUCUCAGCAAUUACAUAAAGAUUAACAGGCACUUUUAAAAACAAAGUACUUAGUAACUAGGAAAAUCUUCAGUAAGUGUCAUUUUAAAUGUUUGAGGUUUUUUUUUAACCUUUAAUGCUUUAAACAUUGUUUAGGAGUUCCCUCUGUGGUGCAUGGGCUAAGAACCUGACUGCAAUGGCUCAGUCGCUAAGGAGGUUUGAUCCUGACACGGUGGGUUAAAGGGUUAAAGGGUCGGGCGUUGCCACAGCUGUGACUCAGAUUCAAUCCCUGGCCCGGAAACUUCCUCAUGGUGUGGAUGUGGCCAUAAAAAUAACAACAACAACAAUAGUUGCUUAAAGAGCUAACUAUGGUCCAUAAAGAGGUAUGGAGAAUGGGUUUCCUAGCACUUGAGAACUGAAAUAGAACGGGUUUCUAAUGACAUUUCUUCACUGGAAAAUUUAUAUUCAGAGGUUUAAAAAAUACAUAAAGUCUAAGAUAUAAGGUUAUGCAAAAUUCCAAAGGGGAAAAAAAAAAUCAAUGGAACUGUUUGUUAUAGAUAUGCUCUUGGGUUCUGGAAUAGACUGAGUGAUACAGGGUUACAGAGACAAACACUGUAGCUCUAUCUUAGAUGAAUCAGUAUGCUUUCCCUGCCAAAACCCUCCAAAAAGCUUCAUUUCCUUAAACUUUCAUGUCUUCUUGAAGAGGUUUAACUUCAGGGAUAUCUAAGAAACCCAAAUUCUCAUAACAUUUUGUUUUUGUCUCAAACUCUGUACAGGACAAACUUUCUUACCUUCUACUAAUUCUGUAUAAGAAAACCUAAUCCUUCACUAAGCAUGUAUUAUUAGUACUGGAUGCUAUUAUUAUAACUUCAUUUUCAAUAACUUUCAAUGUCAUUCAUUUACUUAUAUAAACUGAUUCUAAAGUUACAUGUGCAAAUUAUCAAUUUUAUAAACAAAUAUAACAAUAGCAAUUAAUUAAAUAUUUUAAAAUCGUUCAAAAGUGGUAUUUCUCUAGCAAAAGUAAAACAUUUAAAAAACUUAAUCUUGUAAAAAAAAAAAUUAUUUUUAGGAAUUCCCUGGUGGCCUAGAGGUUAAGGACCCAGUAUUGUCACUGUUGUGGCUUGGGUGGUUACCCCUGUGGCUCAGGUUCAAUCCCUGGCCCAGGAACUUCAGUAUGCUGUAGGCGCAGCCCAAAAAAACCUGUUUUCAGUGAGCUUACUUUGAACUUCUGCUUAGCAUGAAAAAAUUACUUCUAACUAGCUGCUAGAUAUUCAUUCAGAUACUGUCAACAUUUUUAAAUGAUGGGUUAAACAACCCUGAGAACUAAAUAACAAAACAUAAACUAGUUUUAUUUAAUUCUCCAAGCCCAGGUCACACACAAAAGCACUUAGGAUCAACAUCAACAACAUCCACACACGGGUCAGUGUGAGCCAACAGGCAUGUGCAGACCUACCUCUCACAAUGUAAGUUUAAGACUGAACAAUCAAAAGGACUCCAGAAUAGAGCUAUACAUUUUCCACGGUUUCAGAGCACUGAUCUUCAAUUCUGCGUAUGUUCCAUGAACUGAAUGCCAGUCCUGCUCCUGUAACAUUUAAGAAAACUCAAGGAAAGUCAUUAAAUACUAAGGAGGAAGGUUUUUGUUAGGUAGAGUUGAGCUCUGGAAGACCAAAACCAGUAUCUAAGAUUUUUUGCAUACACAACCCCCACCUCCUGCCAUGAGAACAAGUGUGUACCCAUUUAGGGAUUAUAUUCCCCCCAAUGGGAAAGCACGUUAUAGAGCAAGGGGAGAAAAGGGUAAAUACAAGGAACAGAAAUUAGACUAAUUAUUUUAAACAGGAGAUAUUUCUCCUUUAUGCAACAGGUACAUUCUACCAUCAGGAAGGUUUUAUUCAUUUGUUUGCUGGCUUAAAUCCAGUGGAAAAUUUUCUUGAAUGAGAAAUCACAUUCCUUAAAGAUUGCUAAAGUGAGGAGUUAUUACUAGUCCUUCACUAAUUAUCUCCAACAAAGAGAAAAUAAAAGGGUAACAAGCUAAGAGGGAUUUUGCUGGGUAGAAGUGAGGGAGAGGAGAAAAAAAAAAAGAGCUGGUUAGCCUGCAGUCUUAUUCUAAUUUGUAAUAUAAGGAUAGCAUAAUAUUUUGAUAUAAGGAUAGCAUAAUAUUUAAUAUAAGGAUAGCGUAAUAGUCAUUGAUAUCAUGACUUAAAAGUUACAAAUACUAUGCUUGUUCUCACCUACUUGGUAUUGAGAGAAUCAGUUUGCUUUCACAGUGUCUCCCACCUCCAAAUUUACAUUAGACAGAUAGCUAGUUUCUCAACUGCUACUAAUUAGAAAAGAAUCCCAUAAGAUAAAAUUUUCAAUUUACAUUUAACUGCCAAGAUUUUAUUUUCCUGAGAAAAGAACUCAACUGUUCAACGGCCACUGAAGAAACCAAAGGACACUUUUAGGAAAGUAUUCAGAGAGGUACUCAAAUAUAAUUCAAGAGGAAAACUUCCCCACACAGAGAAGGCAUUUUUGGACUAUUUCCCAACAUUGCAGCCAUCUUCCUUUGCUAUUAUAUCCUCAUUCAAACUCUAGAACCAGAUUAUAAAAGUCUGCUAGAACUAUGCAAGUCAGAUCAUGUUCCAGUCAAAACUUAACAGCACCUGACAGAAAUUCAAAAAAGCAGUGCAAAGCACAGAAGCAGGGUAGUGUUGUUCUACCCCAACGCUAAUAGACAACUUCUUAAUAUAUUAACAAUACAAACCAAACAUGCAUUGUUGGACAUACCUUGCAAAAUAAAAGGAAAGAAAUACCCUCAACUCACACAUCAGUGAACAUCCACCUCUGUUAAACAUUUAGUAACAAAACAUACCCAGCAAAAUCUGCCUUUCUAAUUCCUAUAUGAGAAUUUAUAGAUUAACUCUGAUAGUUCAUUUCACCCAAGGGCCUAAGAAUUCAUCUUUAUCACUGAUUAUCAGGAUAUUUAUAUAUUUAUAUUCUGUUCUGAAUAAAAACAGAAUUAAAAUAAAGUAUUAUUAUUUUUACAUCUUUUCUUUCAGUAGUUGAGGGGCAAAGCUUUUUAGGGGGAAAAAGGAAAUCCUUUAUGUGAAGCCUGACAUCUUCUGAAAAGAAAUCAUAGUUGAAAAGUAAGAACUUUUUUUUGAAGUUUGGGGGCAGGGGAGAUAUACUAUCUUUCAAGUAAAAGUGUACAAGCUAGCUAAACAUGGUUUAUGUCUUUAAAAGAUCAUAUUUAAGAUGAACAUGCAAUUAUUAUUAUUAUUUAGGGGACAUAAGAAAAAUAAAAGUUUUAUAAAGAUUAAUUUAAGUGACCAUAUUUACAAGGGAACUGGAAACUCCACAGCUCCCUGGCUAAAUAAAAGCAGUCAUCUACUGCACCAGUGUGUAUUUUCAGGCAAAUACAGAAGCAAAACUCAUUAGCUCUUUAAAAAAUACACACAUUUAAUGUUGGUCUGUUUUAAUUCUAAGUAAAGCAAUUCCAAAAAUACAAACUGAACAUCAGAGCCAUGUGAACCACCAAGAUAAAAUAAAACAGACAUUCACAAUAAUUACGUCUAAAGACAGUUCAGCUUAAUAAAUCAUCUUCCAGGUAUGCUAAAGAAAGAAUGACUAAAAAUACUGCUGGUGUUCAGUUAGAAUUAAAGGACUUUGGGGCAAAUGAAAUAAUAUGAUACAGGUGGAGUGAAUAAGGUUACACGGGAUUUACAUUUUCCAUUACCCCUAGAUAUAAACAAACAUUCAAAAUCAACACAAACUCUGUGUGUUAUUCAAAAUAUUGCAGCUGCAGGAAAGGCAACUUUAAAUUAAUAGCUAGGGGAAAAUCAAGUUUUGGUGGAGGUAAACAGAAGUGACAGUUCUUAAUUUGCACUUUUGUAAAGCUCAUUUAUACCUGGCCAACCAGGAACCAAAUGCAGGACUA
RNAcentral lists this long non-coding RNA (6647 nucleotides) under Sus scrofa (pig). Its description in RNAcentral is "lncRNA (ENSSSCG00060000143.1)". The record is from RNAcentral. Lineage: Eukaryota; Metazoa; Chordata; Mammalia; Artiodactyla; Suidae.